Molecule: ribosomal RNA, 1113 nt
Filed under: uncultured bacterium
Lineage: Bacteria
Description: bacterial SSU rRNA
Rfam family: Bacterial small subunit ribosomal RNA
Source: RNAcentral
GAGUUUGAUCCUGGGUCAGGACGAACGCUGGCGGCGUGGAUUAGGCAUGCAAGUCGCGCGACGGUAUUCCUUCGGGGAUAUACGGAGCGGCGAACGGGUGAGUAACACGUGAGGAACCUGUCCCUACUUUCCGGAUAAUUGGCCGAAAGGCCUUGUAAUACGGGGGAGGGUCUUUGAGGGGCAUCCCUUAAAGAAGGAAGGCGCAAGCACUUGUGUUUGUGCCGAGCAGGGAGGGUCUCGCGGCCUAUCAGCUUGUUGGUGGGGUAAAGGCCUACCAAGGCGACGACGGGUAGCUGGUCUGAGAGGAUGGUCAGCCACAUUGGAACUGAGACACUGUCCAGACUCCUACGGGAGGCUGCAGUCGAGAAUCUUGGUCAAUGCACGAAAGUGUGAACCAGCGACGCCGCGUGAAGGAUGAAGGACCUCUGGUUCGUAAACUUCUUUUAGGGGGGAAGAAUGGGCUUUAUGCCUUUGACGGUACCCCCUGAAUAAGCCACGGCUAACUACGUGCCAGCAGCCGCGGUAAUACGUAGGUGGCAAGCGUUGUCCGGAUUUACUGGGCGUAAAGCGUAUGCAGGCGGAUACUUAAGUAGGAAGUGAAAGGUGGGAGCUCAACUCCCACAUUGCUCCCUAUACUGGGUGUCUUGAGUGGCGGAGAGGGAGAUGGAACGACACGUGUAGCGGUGAAAUGCGUUGAUAUGUGUCGGAACACCAAUGGCGAAAGCAAUCUCCUGGACGCAGGGAAACCUUAAAACUGACGCUGAGAUACGAAAGCCAAGGUAGCAAACAGGAUUAGAUACCCUGGUAGUCUUGGCCAUAAACGAUGUUCACUAGGUGUUGGGGCUUUGCCUCGGUGCCGCAGCUAACGCAUUAAGUGAACCGCCUGGGAACUACGAUCGCAAGAUUAAAACUCAAAGGAAUUGGCGGGGGCCCGCACAAGCGGUGGAGCAUGUGGCUUAAUUCGAUGCAACGCGAAGAACCUUACCAGGGCUUGACAUGGAUCUGCAAGCUACCGAAAAGUAGUCGCCUUCGAGGGUGAUUCACAGGUGGUGCAUGGCUGUCGUCAGCUCGUGUUGUGAAAUGUUGGGUUAAGUCCCGCAACGAGCGCAACCC